RNAcentral lists this long non-coding RNA (3354 nucleotides) under Pan paniscus (pygmy chimpanzee). Its description in RNAcentral is "lncRNA (ENSPPAG00000044995.1)". The record is from RNAcentral. Lineage: Eukaryota; Metazoa; Chordata; Mammalia; Primates; Hominidae.
AUCCUGAAGAUCUUCGUAGACAAUCUCUUUGCUAUCGUCCUGCUGAAGCAGGCCACAGCUGUGCGCUGCUUGGACAUGAAUGCCUCCCGUAAGAAGCUGGCCGUGGUAGAUGAAAAUGACACUUGCCUGGUGUAUGACAUCGACACCAAGGAGCUGCUUUUUCAGGAACCAAACGCCAACAGUGUGGCCUGGAACACCCAGUGUGAGGACAUGCUCUGCUUCUCGGGAGGAGGCUACCUCAACAUCAAAGCCAGCACCUUCCCUGUGCACCGGCAGAAGCUGCAGGGCUUUGUGGUCGGCUACAAUGGCUCCAAGAUCUUCUGCCUCCACGUCUUCAUUUCUGCCGUGGAGGUGCCACAGCCCCAUCACUGUCUAUGAACUGCUGGCUGUAAACUUGUCAUCUGGCCUUUUCACUCAGCAAUCUCCUGAAGCAUGGUUCUGUGUCAGCAAAUGUUCUUAUCCAGCAUGGCAAAAUGUUAAGGUAAUUGUAGACUCACAUAAGUUGCAGGAAAUAAUACAGAGAUCCCUUAUACCCUUUGCCCAGUUUCCCGCAAUGGUAACAGUGUGCAAAGCUCCAGGACGAUUUUGUCACCCAUGUUGGCAUGUGUAACCGCCCCCCACAGUCACGGCACUGAACAUGGCCACCACCACAAGUGCCUAGUGUUGUGCUACCCUUUUACAGCCAGCACCACUCCCUCCUGCCCGGCCCCCCUGCAUUGUAUUUAUGGCUGCAUUUUGUCCUAUCUUGUGGAUGUUCCAUGGCUGACAGACAGGCUGAACAAACAAAGGGUGUGCAAAGAAGCCCAGAGCAGGAGAGAAGGCUCCCCAGCCUGGCUCUUGGUCGGCACACUGACAGGCUGGCUCUGCCUCUCUUGGCUGCACUGUCCUGAAGCAGGAAAUAUGAGAAAAACAAGUAAAGGGAAAACAAGUCCAGUUGGAGCUAUGAUAACAUUAUCUGCAAGGCCAGGCAGGGGCCCCAAAGAAAUGGGAUCCAAGAGCAGGGACGAGAAAAGCAAGUUCUUAGUCUCCCCCUGGAAUUCUUUCCCCAUGCCAUCAUUCUUUGUUCUGCUCUUAUACCUAUUUUUGUAACUAUUUCUGCAAGUUUGCAAGGAUUUUAUAAGUUCCUGUUUUCCCAUCUAUGCAGGAUGGCAAAGGUCACAAGACAUGCCUGAAUUGCAAAACCUGUCACAGUUUGAUUAACUGCCUUUGUUCUGCUUCUGUAAGCUCGCUUUCCCCACCCCGCAAGUUUUGCGCCACUGGCUAGCCACUCGCCUUCAGUUGCCUGAAUAAAAGUCAAGCCUGAUCUUUGUUCAUUGCUCAGCCUCUGGAUAUUAAUCUGCUGGGCCAGUGGCCACCUGAAUAAAAUCCUCCUAUUUCACCCUUUGGUCUCUCCAGUCUCCUGAUUCCCACAACAUUUUGGCAAGCCAGCCAGGAGCGGAGACGACAGGUUUACUGUCUCCUUUGCUUGUGGAACUGGAGCCCCGGGCCAGGGGAGGCCUGUGACCCCAGGGACCAUCAGGAGAACUUCAACCCAGAGGGGAGAUCAGCUCUCCUGUGAUCCAGUGCCCCUACCCGACAGCGCAACAGAACCUAAAGGGGCUACAGGAUGAUUCCAGGAACAGCACGCUUCAGGACCACAGUAAGGUUCGGGGCCCGAGGCAGGACCUGUCCCAUAAGGGCGGAAGGGAACCUGAUCAACUCCCGGGAGUGCACCAAGUAGUCCAACCCAGGAUACAAGAGUGGCUCGCAAAGUCAGAUGAAACUGGCACCUAGGGCGUACGAGUAAUCUGACCUAGGACGCGAGAGUGGCUCACUAUUUCGGAUGAAACCUACACCCCAACCGAACCAGGACGUGAAAGUAGCUUGCUAAGUUGGUUGAGAAAGGAAACUGGAAGCAGGGAGGUGUGAGUGCAUGUGAAAGAGAUGGUUCUGGAAGGAACCAAGCAGGGAGUGACAUGUGGGGGUUGCAGGUCUCUUAGCAUAGACCGUACGCUUCGAGUAAAGUGUGGGACUGACUGGGACUAGUGGCAAACAUCCUACGUGGGCUACCACCUAUGGCUCAGAAAGGUGCCCCGCAAUUUAGUAAUUGUGGGGAGAUUAACGAUCACUCCAAAGCUAAGCAGCAUCUGAAAGACUCCCGCAAGGGAGACGAUCUAAUUGGUCUGAAGCGAAAGUGAGAGUGUGUUGUGCCAAAAAAGGAGGAAAUGGGAGGGAAGUCGUCAAAACCCACCCGGUUAGAAUGUACGUUAAAGAAUUUUAAGAAAGGUUAUAAGAGGGACUAUGGAAUCAAGUUGACCCCCCAGAGGUUAAGAACUCUCUGUGAAAUAGAAUGGCCUUCUUUUAGUGUAGGAUGGCUGGCCUAAAGGACUAUAGAUAGAGAAACAAUUGGCCGUGUAUAUCUGGUGGUGACUAGGGUCAGAGAACAGCCAGGGCAUCCAGACCAAUUCCCUUAUGGUCUGAAUGCAGCCCUGCUUAGCAGCUUAUUGCAGAACACUCGUAGCUUGAGUUGAGCCAAAAGCAAAAGAGAAUUCAGCUUCACUGUCAGCUGCAGAGACAAAGGGGAAAGCCACAAGUUUUGCAGGAACCACUGGAGGAGAUAGAGACCCCUCCUCCCUACACUCCAAUACCCCCCCUUUACCAACGGCUGGCCCCUGAGCAGCCAGACUCAGAUGGUGAUACGCCCCAGGCUACACCCCACGAGGGAGAAAUCUGAGCCCUCAUCCCAGGAGGUCAAGGAGCAAAGUCAGGAUGAUUAAGCAGGCUGCCUCCAGUCUGGCUGCACCCAGGUUAUGCAAAUGCCUCUACAGGGAAACAAGGGGACCUCUUUAUUAUAAUGAACAGGGCCAAGUCCAAGGAGGAGAACGAACUUUCAUUUACCAGCCUUUUUCAACCACCGAUCUCCUAAACUGGAAACACCAUACUCCCUCCUACAUGGAGAAGCCCCAAGCCCUCACAGAUCUAUGCAGUCCAUCUUCCUGACACACAGUCCAACUUGGCCAGACUGCAAACAGCUCCUACUGACGCUGUUUAACACCGAGGAGUGCCGGAGGGUAACCCAGGCAGCCCUCCACUGGUUAAAAGCCAAUGCACCAGAAGGCACACUUAAUGUUCAGGCUUACGCUCGGGGCCAGUUCCCAGAAGCAGACCCUAACUGGGACCCAAAUGAUGCAACCCAGUUUCAGCACCUACAGAGGUACCAAGAAGCACUGCUGCAAGGGUUAAGGGAGGGUAGAAAGAAGGCCGUCAAUAUAGGAAAGAUCUCAGAGGUGCUUCAGGGAAUUGAUGAAAGCCCCAGCCAGUUUUAUGAGAGACUCUGUGAGGUGCUCCGGUUUUGUUUUUUUGUUUUUUUUUUUU